This is a non-coding RNA of Vicia faba (fava bean), 342 nucleotides long. Lineage: Eukaryota; Viridiplantae; Streptophyta; Magnoliopsida; Fabales; Fabaceae. The record is from the annotation of a GenBank genome assembly.
AUGGAGCAUUAUUACAAAAGUGUUGCUAAUACUCCAAAUUGCCUUGUACUUCUAUACAAAUGUGUUCUUGUAGAAUUUAGUAAUGGUCUAUGUUCUGUUCUAUCUGUUAAACAAUUGAUUGAGCAAAGAGUUUUUGAUUUGGGGUUAACACCUUUUAGUAUAUACUAUAUUCAAAUGCAAUGUAAAGUAGUUGUUGUGAAGCAUUCAAUGUCUUCUGGUCUUGCAAUUUGUCGCAGAAGUACAAGCCUACUAUGGUAUGUUUCAAAUUUUGAGCUUGUUUUGGAGAUUUUGUUCUUCAAUGUCUUUUUAUCUUUUCUUUUUGGGGUACAUUCUUGCAAUUGA